This 447-nucleotide ribosomal RNA is filed under the name uncultured bacterium. Its description in RNAcentral is "SSU rRNA". It matches the Rfam family "Bacterial small subunit ribosomal RNA", at positions 26 to 518 of the family's 1533-position model. The record is from RNAcentral.
AGAACGAACGCUGGCGGCAGGCCUCAAACAUGCAAGUCUAGGGGGCGUAGCAAUACGUCACCGGCGGACGGGUGCGUAACACGUGGGAAUGUACUUACUGGUUCGGAACAACUCAGGGAAACUUGAGCUAAUACCGAAUGUGCCCGAAAGGGGAAAGAUUUAUCGCCAGUAAAUCAGCCCGCGUCCGAUUAGCUAGUUGGCGGGGUAAAGGCCCACCAAGGCGACGAUCGGUAGCUGUUCUGAGAGGAAGAUCAGCCACACUGGGACUGAGACACGGCCCAGACUCCUACGGGAGGCAGCAGUUGGGAAUCUUGGACAAUGGGGGAAACCCUGAUCCAGCCAUGCCGCGUGAGUGAUGAAGGCCUUCGGGUUGUAAAACUCUUUCGACGGGGACGAUAAUGACGGUACCCGUAGAGAAGCUCCGGCUAACUUCGCGCCAGCAGCCGC